Poeciliopsis prolifica (blackstripe livebearer) is the source of this 4213-nucleotide RNA transcript. It is a transcript of the gene named nocturnin a, with no coding region annotated. NCBI's taxonomy places the organism in Eukaryota, Metazoa, Chordata, Actinopteri, Cyprinodontiformes, Poeciliidae. The transcript is spliced from 4 exons. The record is from RefSeq and is a predicted model, not a curated record.
GUCGGUAACUCAGAAAAAUGAUGUAACUUACCGGCCGGCUUUCUGGCUUCCUUCACUUCUUCAGAGAAAGAGAAGAGGCCGCGUGAAGGGGAACAUUAGAAAGUUUUAGCUGAAUUAAAUAACUCAGUUUUAUCAAAAAUAGUGAAAAGACGAAAGGUUUUUUUAGUGCGACUCCCGACAGUUCAGAAUGAAUUCAGCUCGUCGUUGUUCCGCUUUGUUCAGCCAAAUAUGCGUCUCAUCAGCGGGGGGACAGCCAGCCCGGACACCACUUCCACCGGCUGGGUCAGCCUCUACUGGAGCCCACUGUUGUCACAGUGGCCCCGCAGGAGGGGGAGUCAGAAGAACCGGUGGCCCGCUGAAGCCGAGUGCCGCAGCCAGCAUCAUAACAGCACCAGUUUGUCCAAUGGGCAGCAGUAGCAGUUGCAGGUUGUUUGGGACGAUGGCCCAGGCGUUGAGCAGUUCCUCUCUGACCCAGCCUGACCCGGACCUGGAUCAAGAGCAGGACCUGGUGGAGGUGGAGCCGGAGGAGCUGCUCAGAGAGUGUGAGGAGGCACUGCGGCGGCGCCCUGCCCGGCCUCACCGGGACCUGGUUCUGCCCAAGCUGGUGGCUCCCUGCAGCCACCAGCACAACCCAUCCAUACGGGUCCUGCAGUGGAACAUCCUGGCCCAAGCUCUGGGUGAGGGGAAGGACAGCUUCAUUCGCUGCCCACUAGAGGCUCUCAACUGGCAUGAGAGGAAGUACCAGAUCCUGGAGGAAAUUCUCACCUACCGACCCGACAUUGUGUGUCUGCAGGAAGUCGACCACUACUAUGACACUUUUCAGCCAAUUAUGGCGCGCCUCGGUUACCAUGGUAACUUCCUCCCCAAACCCUGGUCUCCCUGUCUGGAUGUGGAGCACAACAACGGCCCCGACGGCUGUGCGCUGUUCUACCGCCGCUCGCGCUUCCACCUGCACUCCACAGCCCACCUGCGGCUGUCGGCCAUGAUGCUGCCCACCAACCAGGUGGCCAUCGCCCAGACCCUUGGCUGCCUGGCCACAGGCCGCCAGCUGUGUGUGGCCGUCACACACUUGAAGGCCCGCAGCGGCUGGGAGAGGCUGCGGAGUGCGCAAGGCGCUGACUUGCUGCAGAGCUUGCAGGGCAUCACGGCCCCUGGAUCAGAGGUUGGGCAGGGGCCCGUCCCUCUAGUGGUUUGCGGGGACUUCAACGCUGAGCCCUCAGAGGACAUCUACAGGCGCUUUAGUUCCUCCCCUCUGGGCCUGAGCUCCGCCUACAAGCUGCUGAGCAGUGACGGGCAGACAGAGCCGGCGUACACCAGCUGGAAGAUCCGCCCAUCUGGAGAGAGCUGCAGCACUCUAGACUACAUCUGGUACAGCGAGCGCACCCUGAGGGUGGAAGCGCUGCUGGACAUCCCAACAGAGCAGCAGAUCGGACCCGACCGCCUGCCCUCAUACCACUACCCCUCAGACCACCUGGCCCUGCUCUGUGACAUCAGCUUCAGGGAGGGGCCUCACAGGCUGCUGUAGGCAGCCAAUCACAGCUCCAGCUGAAACCAGGACAGCCACAUCAGAGGAACCUGACCUUUGACCUGAUGCUGUUUGUGUGAAGCUGGCUGCGGUAGAAUCUCUUCUGCUGGAACUCUGAUGGGAGCUGUGAAGAGGAGGUGCUGGAACACACAGGAGGGAAAAUGUGGAGCUGGUUCCACUUUCUGAGUGUAAACAGGAGGAAUGAAGGUGAAGUCAGCCUGACGGGUUAGAAACGGAAAGCAGAAUGCUCUGAAAGGAAGACAGCGGGACCUAACACUAAGAGGUAAAACAUCAGUCACAGCCAGAGGACAAACAAAGGUUCUGGUGGGUUAAAGAGGAGCAGACAUGUCCUGUUUGAUUGGAUCAAAGGCAUGUUCAGCUGAUGAAUCACUAAUCUGCCUUAGAGAAGUUGAUUCCCAAGUCCCUAGAGAUUUCAGCACAUUAAGUCUAAACUCUGUUUGUGGUAAGUGGACACCUCUUAAGCUGAUAAUGACUUAUUCUUUUGUUGUAGCCAUUGUUUCUUCUACUCACCUGUUAUUCUCUGAGAGACAUGUGAAAACUUAUGUGAAGCAAACAUCAGUCCAUGCUUCUGUGACUCAGUUCAUGUUGACAUCAUUCUGUCCUGUUUGUCCAAUCAGACCCACAUACCUUCACUGUUUGAUGAAACCAAAGAAAGUUCUGAUUAUUUCAGCAUCAUCGCUGCAGGGGCAGCAGAAGACAGUCCAGUGAACUCUGUCACAUCAGAGGACAGACAGGGAGACGAUUCCUUCUGAGAGAAACAAGAUGUGAAAGUGGACUUUUGAAAUUCAGAUCUGUAGUCACAUCUAUGAAAUUAUCUUAAAUACUGCAGAAUUAUACAGUUCAGGUUUUUUUGGAACCAGCAGGUGGUGCAAACCAUCACUGACUGUGGAAUCUUAACACUGGACUUCAUUUCUGUGCCUUUCUUCCUGAAGACUGUGGCAUCUUGAUCUCCAAAUGAAAUGAAAACUUUCAUCUGAAAUGAAGAGACUUCUCUGUAUCACAUGACCUGAAUAUGAGUGCAUGUGACCUGAAAAUCUCCACCAAACUCUUAAACAUCCUUUGAUCCUCAAUUUUUUAAACCACACUUUUUUCUUCCAUUCAAUUUUCCAUCGAUGUGUUUUUGUCUAACACCAUGAACAGUCAGCUUCUUCAGCCUUCUGUUCUUUACUCUCCUUGUGGAAGGUGUCCAACCUCAUGAACAUCAUUUCUCAUGGGUCUGAUGGAGUUUUUGAAUUGGGAUGAUGGUGGUGACUGGGAGCUCAUCCCUCAGUCAAUGGGUUGCUAGUUUAAUUCCUGCUCUGUCUGUCUGCAUCUGAUGUUGUUUACUUGGGCAAGACCCUUCACCCACCUUUCCUGCUGGUGAAGGUCAGAGAGCCUGGUGGUGUUGGGAGCAUGGCAGCCUGGCCUCUGGGAGCUGGACACGUACAAUUCCUGUUUUCUUAACCCUCUGAUGUGUAAGUGGGUAAUUUUUGACCCGGUAAGAUCAUCUUUUUGCAAUAUCUUUGUAAUGAAAAGUUUUCAUCACUUCAUAUUCCAGGUAUUCCUCAAAUAUGUUACUGAUAUCAUGUAAUUAAAAUUUUUUAUUUACCUUUCAUACAUUUAGAAAAAUAGCAUGUAGGCAUAUCACUACCCCAUUAAGUGGGUCAAAAAUGACCCUCGUUCAUUUCCUAUGGAAUUUAAUGGGAAUCUUUGUUUCUUACCAACUGGGACUGUCAGGAAAACAUUUUUUGUGAACCAUAAACACUGAGUCCUAAGUAAUAACUGAGUAAUAAUAUUUUACACAGUAAGAACUCUAUUAUCUCUAUUUUCUACCUCACAAAUGUGUGUAUGUGUGUGUGAGUCAUGAGUACCGUGACAGUUAGUGUCACGAAUCAACAUAUUAGCCUUCUUCAAAGUUAGCCAACACUAGUUAUCUAACCAACUGGCUGACAUCACUGCCUACACUUUAUUGUGCAUGGUGUGUCUGACACCCCAGAUGAGAAAACCAAGAGAAAAUGUAUUGAAUGACAUGCAAAACCUGUUGAUCAAUGUGUUCAAGGUUUUUUCUUUUAUCAUCUCAAUAAAUAAAAUUUUAAAAAUGAUAAAAAAAAGUCUACAUUCCCACCCUCAUGUGUGGUCAUGAGCUUUGGCUCAUGACUGAAAGAACGAGAUCACCCAUACAAGCAGCUGAAAUGAGUUUUCUUGGUCAUCGUGGAAUAGACCAGUGGCGCCAUCUUCUGGGGAAACCCUGAUUGUGCAAAGAAAACUGUUCUUGUCACCUUUGCACACCUACACCAAGUAGAUUUGUAUAUUUUAUUUUCUUAAAAUUUGAUUUUAAGAAAAUAAAAAGGCAAAAAAAAAAGUACUUUCAAACUAUUUCUGAAAAUCUGCAACAUUGAGCAACACUUGCAGCUGUAUAUUCUACAUUACUGACAGGAAAAGAUCUUCCAUCUGUUCAUUUCUCAGAACUAAAGGCUGUGAAGUCAUUUCUACACACCUGAAUAAAAAAGUCACACUGUUUUCUUUCACAUUUGUAUUUUUUUAUAAUACAUAUUUCAGUAAAAUCUACUUCAAUACACUGAUAGUACAAGAAAAAAAAAUAGUAUAUUAUGCUUCAAAUGCAGGGCUUACUUAGUUCACUGACAUGGAUGCAGACAUCCUAUUGAUUCCCUUUUAAGGAAAAGUAAA